RNAcentral lists this transfer RNA (72 nucleotides) under Toxocara canis (dog roundworm). It matches the Rfam family "tRNA". From Rfam's summary of the family: Transfer RNA (tRNA) molecules are approximately 80 nucleotides in length. Their secondary structure includes four short double-helical elements and three loops (D, anti-codon, and T loops). Further hydrogen bonds mediate the characteristic L-shaped molecular structure. tRNAs have two regions of fundamental functional importance: the anti-codon, which is responsible for specific mRNA codon recognition, and the 3' end, to which the tRNAs corresponding amino acid is attached (by aminoacyl-tRNA synthetases). tRNAs cope with the degeneracy of the genetic code in two manners: having more than one tRNA (with a specific anti-codon) for a particular amino acid; and 'wobble' base-pairing, i.e. permitting non-standard base-pairing at the 3rd anti-codon position. The record is from Rfam by way of RNAcentral. Lineage: Eukaryota; Metazoa; Nematoda; Chromadorea; Rhabditida; Toxocaridae.
UGGGCAGUAGCUCAGUGGUAGAGCUCCCACUCCGCGUGCGGGGAGACCUGGGUUCGAUUCCCGGCUGCUUGC